RNAcentral lists this ribosomal RNA (383 nucleotides) under uncultured bacterium. Its description in RNAcentral is "bacterial SSU rRNA". It matches the Rfam family "Bacterial small subunit ribosomal RNA", at positions 28 to 411 of the family's 1533-position model. The record is from RNAcentral.
GACGAACGCUGGCGGCGUGCUUAACACAUGCAAGUCGAGCGGUAAGGCCCUUUCGGGGGUACACGAGCGGCGAACGGGUGAGUAACACGUGGGUGACCUGCCUUUAGCUCUGGGAUAAGCCUGGGAAACCGGGUCUAAUACCGGAUAUGACUCCGCGGCGCAUGUUGUGGGGUGGAAAGCCUUGUGCGGCUGGAGAUGGGCCCGCGGCCUAUCAGCUUGUUGGUGGGGUGAUGGCCUACCAAGGCGACGACGGGUAGCCGGCCUGAGAGGGCGACCGGCCACACUGGGACUGAGACACGGCCCAGACUCCUACGGGAGGCAGCAGGUGGGGAAUCUUGCGCAAUGGGCGAAAGCCUGACGCAGCGACGCCGCGUGAGGGAUGA